Suricata suricatta (meerkat) is the source of this 1251-nucleotide long non-coding RNA. RefSeq lists it as uncharacterized. The transcript has 2 exons. The record is from RefSeq and is a predicted model, not a curated record. NCBI's taxonomy places the organism in Eukaryota, Metazoa, Chordata, Mammalia, Carnivora, Herpestidae.
GGAAUUUCUGCCCUCAACCAAGCUCUCUUUGGGAAAAUGUCCUUGCUUAUUUGGGAAUCUCCCCAGACUGUGAUUUGUGUCUUCUUGCUUCGUGGGGUCAGCGGUCUCCUCCUCCCCUCUUUCCACCUCCAUCCCCAGCAGCACUGUGAAAAGCCACUUCUACCCGAGCUCCGGGCGCAGGCCCCUUGCCCCGUUGGCCCAGGUUCUCGGGGGCCCCCCGAGCCCCUGCCCGCCUCUCAGAGCGGGCAACCCCAGCAGCCUGUCCAUGGCUUCUCAACCCGGGAAGACGGUGCAGCGUGAACAGCCUGGAGUCCAUGACCCGCCGCGUCUCCGCCCUGGGCCAGGAGGGAAGCGCUUUCUAUAGCUCGAGGUACUUGGAGCCUCGCUUUUCUCCAGGAAACUUGCCACAUCGAAGGCAUCUUCAAAGAGGAUCUGAAGAAAGGCACAGAAGGUGGCGCGUCAGAAAGAACUAGUUUGGCGCUCGCUCUGGGCGGCUGGUGGAGAGGCACAGAACGGUUCUCUCUUUCACCCUCAUUUCCCAAGGGUGUGGGUAUGUGAAAGCUGGGGCGCAAAUGCAGGAUUGCCUCUUGGUGACCUUCCCUGGACGGCUGCAGGAGAGCCAGCUCCUUGUCCUGCCACUCGCUGAGCCAUGCGACCUCAGACACGUGACCCCCUUUCUCGAAUCUUCCUCUUAUGUUAAGGGAAUCACAGCAGCGCCCACCCACAGGGGCGCUUCGGGAAUUCAAGAAGAGGUAGGCGAACACCUGCUGGGGAAGAACCCAGAGUGGACGGGCUGGUUCUCUCAGGGACCUCCUCCCAGACCCUCGUGGAGAUCAGCAAGGGGAUAUUAGAAGGUCGCCAUAAAAUGUCCAGUGCGUCAGCUAUUACUGAAUAUUAAUCUGUCCUAUAAAAGAAACACAUGCCCCGUGAGGAACACUUUGGAACACAGAAACCGAGAAGGAAAAUGAAAAUCAGUGAGAAGCGGUCCCACCCAGAGCGGUCCAUUGUUGGCAGACUGACCUAUUUCCCUCCAGUCAUUUCCCGAGGCGCGUUACAUCAGAGAUCCCCGAUUCUGCAGUCCUGUUAUUCAGAUGGUUUGCAGUCCUGCUGCUCUUUAAUUUCUUGAAGAAUAUUAGAUAUGCCACAGGAAUGUGAUACAUAGACUUAGGAAUGCAAGAUUUAGCAAAUAAAAAUGCAGGCUGCUUAGUUAAAUUUGAAUUUUAAAUAAAGUCAUGGUUUUUUUUAGCAUAA